GAUGAACGCUGGCGGCGUGCCUAAUACAUGCAAGUCGAGCGAACAGACGAGGAGCUUGCUCCUCUGACGUUAGCGGCGGACGGGUGAGUAACACGUGGAUAACCUACCUAUAAGACUGGGAUAACUUCGGGAAACCGGAGCUAAUACCGGAUAAUAUAUUGAACCGCAUGGUUCAAUAGUGAAAGACGGUUUUGCUGUCACUUAUAGAUGGAUCCGCGCCGCAUUAGCUAGUUGGUAAGGUAACGGCUUACCAAGGCAACGAUGCGUAGCCGACCUGAGAGGGUGAUCGGCCACACUGGAACUGAGACACGGUCCAGACCCCUACGGAAGGCAGCAGGAGGGAAUCUUCCGCAAUGGGCGAAGGCCUGACGGAGCAACGCCGCGUGAGUGAUGAAGGUCUUCGGAUCGUAAAACUCUGUUAUUAGAGAAAAACAAAUGUGUAAGUAACUAUGCACGUCUUGACGGUACCUAAUCAGAAAGCCACGGCUAACUACGU
This 496-nucleotide ribosomal RNA is filed under the name uncultured bacterium. RNAcentral describes it as "partial 16S ribosomal RNA". It matches the Rfam family "Bacterial small subunit ribosomal RNA", at positions 28 to 506 of the family's 1533-position model. The record is from RNAcentral.